RNAcentral lists this ribosomal RNA (495 nucleotides) under uncultured bacterium. RNAcentral describes it as "partial 16S ribosomal RNA". It matches the Rfam family "Bacterial small subunit ribosomal RNA", at positions 28 to 507 of the family's 1533-position model. The record is from RNAcentral.
GACGAACGCUGGCGGCGUGCCUAAUACAUGCAAGUAGAACGCUGAAGGAGGAGCUUGCUUCUCCGGAUGAGUUGCGAACGGGUGAGUAACGCGUAGGUAACCUGCCUGGUAGCGGGGGAUAACUAUUGGAAACGAUAGCUAAUACCGCAUAAGAGUAGAUGUCGCAUGACAUUUGCUUAAAAGGUGCAACUGCACCACUACCAGAUGGACCUGCGUUGUAUUAGCUAGUUGGUGAGGUAACGGCUCACCAAGGCAACGAUACAUAGCCGACCUGAGAGGGUGAUCGGCCACACUGGGACGGAGACACGGCCCAGACGCCUACGGGAGGCAGCAGUAGGGAAUCUUCGGCAAUGGACGGAAGUCUGACCGAGCAACGCCGCGUGAGUGAAGAAGGUUGUCGGAUCGUAAAGCUCUGUUGUAAGAGAAGAACGAGUGUGAGAGUGGAAAGUUCACACUGUGACGGUAUCUUACCAGAAAGGGACGGCUAACUACGUG